Pluteus cervinus is the source of this 94-nucleotide non-coding RNA. The record is from the annotation of a GenBank genome assembly. Lineage: Eukaryota; Fungi; Basidiomycota; Agaricomycetes; Agaricales; Pluteaceae.
GCCCGUGUAGCUCAGUGGUAGAGCAUUGUACUUAUGUGGUUAUCUGACCUCCUUGGAUAUGCAAGGGUCUCGAGUUCGAAUCUCGGCAUGGGCA